UGAGGAAUAUUGGGCAAUGCCCGCAAGGGUGACCCAGCAACGCCGCGUGGAGGAUGAAUGUCGUAGGAUUGUAAACUCCUGUUAGAGGGGAAGAAUAGUACCGGUUGGACCGGUAUAUGACUGUACCCUCAGAGAAAGCCCCGGCUAACUACGUGCCAGCAGCCGCGGUAAUACGUAGGGGGCAAGCGUUGUCCGGAUUUACUGGGUGUAAAGGGCGCGCAGGCGGGAUAAAAAGUCAGUGGUGAAAUCCUACAGCUUAACUGUAGAACUGCCUUUGAUACUUUUAUUCUUGAGUUCGGGAGAGAGAGACGGAAUUCCAGGUGUAGUGGUGAAAUACGUAGAUAUCUGGAAGAACACCAGUUGCGAAGGCGGUCUCUUGGUCCGACACUGACGCUGAGGCGCGAAAGCGUGGGGAGCAAAC
This 421-nucleotide ribosomal RNA is filed under the name uncultured bacterium. RNAcentral describes it as "bacterial SSU rRNA". It matches the Rfam family "Bacterial small subunit ribosomal RNA", at positions 355 to 773 of the family's 1533-position model. The record is from RNAcentral.